Molecule: unclassified non-coding RNA, 389 nt
Filed under: Hevea brasiliensis (rubber tree)
Lineage: Eukaryota; Viridiplantae; Streptophyta; Magnoliopsida; Malpighiales; Euphorbiaceae
Source: RNAcentral
GAUAUUCAAUGUUCUGAGGUUGGGGAGGGACAGGCCCACUUCAGGAAACGACCUUAGACCAGAGCAAUAAUUUAUAGAUAAUUCAGUGAGACAGGAGAGGCUGUUAAGGCACUCAGGCAAGCUUUUCAGAAUGGUACAGCUCCAAAUAUUAUUGUAUUCAAUUGAUGUAUUGUCGUGCAGCAUCCUUUUUGGAAGUGGCUCCAGUUGUGAGCAGUCUGAGAUCUUAAGUGUUUUAAGUUGAAAAGGUAAUUUUCCUGAUGGGGAGGAUGUUAAAGAUGGACAACUAAUGAUCUCCAAGUGUUCCAGAUGAGACAUGUUAUUCCUGCUUAUUAAUCCCUCAGGCAGAGACUGGAGUUUUGUACAGCAUCGGAUUUUCAACACUUUCAGCG